CAGGUGGUGUUGGAAAGUCAGACUGUGACCCAGAACUUGUCUUUGGACUCGCCAUACAGCACUGUUUGGCUUUUUGUGAGAUUUCUGGCACUUCUUGUGGAUUGUGACAAAAUAGCAAACAAGCUUUGCUCUCAUAAAUAUGUUUGCCCAUUUGCACGACUUUUCCAGUAUGUGACCUCCAGAUCAAAUAAAGUCAUUACUGAGGACAUGUGGUCAUGUUUGAUGGUCAGUUGAGGAUGCUGUGCUGUGUAAACAGUUUAAAGUGCACCAUCUGCAGGAUUUUAGAAGAAUUGCAACACUUUACCAGCUGGAAAGCAAAC
Molecule: long non-coding RNA, 320 nt
Organism: Clarias gariepinus (North African catfish)
Lineage: Eukaryota; Metazoa; Chordata; Actinopteri; Siluriformes; Clariidae
Exons: 3
Source: RefSeq, a predicted model, not a curated record